AAGAUACUUCCUCCGUUCCAAAAUACUUGACCCUCACUUGUCUAGAUAUGGAUGUAUCUAUACUUGUUAGUGUCUAAAUACAUUCUUGUCUAGACAAAUUGGAGUCAACUAAUUUAGAACGGAGGUAUAUGUU
Molecule: non-coding RNA, 133 nt
Organism: Triticum aestivum (bread wheat)
Lineage: Eukaryota; Viridiplantae; Streptophyta; Magnoliopsida; Poales; Poaceae
Source: Rfam